RNAcentral lists this ribosomal RNA (520 nucleotides) under uncultured Glomus. RNAcentral describes it as "SSU rRNA". It matches the Rfam family "Eukaryotic small subunit ribosomal RNA", at positions 569 to 1090 of the family's 1831-position model. The record is from RNAcentral. Lineage: Eukaryota; Fungi; Glomeromycota; Glomeromycetes; Glomerales; Glomeraceae.
AGCAGCCGCGGUAAUUCCAGCUCCAAUAGCGUAUAUUAAAGUUGUUGCAGUUAAAAAGCUCGUAGUUGAAUUUCGGGACCAAUAUGUCGGUCGUGCCUCGGUACGUACUGGCGUUAUUGGUUUCUCCCUUCUGAAGAACCUCGAUGUCAUUAAUUUGGUGUCGUGGGGAAUCAGGACUGUUACUUUGAAAAAAUUAGAGUAGUUUAAAGCAGGCUCGCGCUUGAAUACAUUAGCAUGGAAUAAUGAAAUAGGACGUUUAAUUCUAUUUUGUUGGUUUCUAGGAUUGACGUAAUGAUUAAUAGGGAUAGUUGGGGGCAUUAGUAUUCAAUUGUCAGAGGUGAAAUUCUUGGAUUUAUUGAAGACUAACUACUGCGAAAGCAUUUGCCAAAGAUGUUUUCAUUAAUCAAGAACGAAAGUUAGGGGAUCGAAGACGAUCAGAUACCGUCGUAGUCUUAACCAUAAACUAUAGCCGACUAGGGAUCGGAUGAUGUUAAUUUUUAAUGACUCAUUCGGCGCCUUA